Molecule: ribosomal RNA, 497 nt
Filed under: uncultured bacterium
Lineage: Bacteria
Description: partial 16S ribosomal RNA
Rfam family: Bacterial small subunit ribosomal RNA
Source: RNAcentral
GAUGAACGCUGGCGGCGUGCCUAAUACAUGCAAGUCGAGCGAACGGACGAGAAGCUUGCUUCUCUGAUGUUCGCGGCGGACGGGUGAGUAACACGUGGAUAACCUACCUAUAAGACUGGGAUAACUUCGGGAAACCGGAGCUAAUACCGGAUGAUAUUUUGAACCGCAUGGUUCAAAAGUGAAAGACGGUCUUGCUGUCACUUAUAGAUGGAUCCGCGCUGCAUUAGCUAGUUGGUAAGGUAACGGCUUACCAAGGCAACGAUGCAUAGCCGACCUGAGAGGGUGAUCGGCCACACUGGAACUGAGACACGGUCCAGACUCCUACGGGAGGCAGCAGUAGGGAAUCUUCCGCAAUGGGCGAAAGCCUGACGGAGCAACGCCGCGUGAGUGAUGAAGGUCUUCGGAUCGUAAAACUCUGUUAUUAGGGAAGAACAUAUGUGUAAGUAACUGUGCACAUCUUGACGGUACCUAAUCAGAAAGCCACGGCUAACUACGUG